ACCUGCAAGUCGAACGGCAGCGCGGGGCAACCUGGCGGCGAGUGGCGAACGGGUGAGUAAUAUAUCGGAACGUGCCCUGGAGUGGGGGAUAACGCGGCGAAAGUUGCGCUAAUACCGCAUACGAUCUAAGGAUGAAAGCAGGGGACCGCAAGGCCUUGUGCUCCUGGAGCGGCCGAUAUCUGAUUAGCUAGUUGGUGGGGUAAAGGCCUACCAAGGCAUCGAUCAGUAGCUGGUCUGAGAGGACGACCAGCCACACUGGAACUGAGACACGGUCCAGACUCCUACGGGAGGCAGCAGUGGGGAAUUUUGGACAAUGGGCGCAAGCCUGAUCCAGCAAUGCCGCGUGAGUGAAGAAGGCCUUCGGGUUGUAAAGCUCUUUUGUCAGGGAAGAAACGGUGGGGGCUAAUAUCCCCUGCUAAUGACGGUACCUGAAGAAUAAGCACCGGCUAACUACGUGCCAGCAGCCGCGGUAAUACGUAGGGUGCAAGCGUUAAUCGGAAUUACUGGGCGUAAAGCGUGCGCAGGCGGUUUUGUAAAAUCUGUCGUGAAAUCCCCGGGCUCAACCUGGGAAUUUGCGAUGGAAACUGGCAGGCUAGAAUCUGGCAAAGGGGGGUAAAAAUCCCCGUGUACCAAUGAAAUGCCUAAAGAUGUGGGGGAACACCCGAUGGCGAAGGCACCCCCUUGGGUCAAGAUUGAC
Molecule: ribosomal RNA, 697 nt
Filed under: uncultured bacterium
Lineage: Bacteria
Description: bacterial SSU rRNA
Rfam family: Bacterial small subunit ribosomal RNA
Source: RNAcentral